This 580-nucleotide ribosomal RNA is filed under the name Levilactobacillus brevis. RNAcentral describes it as "bacterial SSU rRNA". It matches the Rfam family "Bacterial small subunit ribosomal RNA", at positions 117 to 684 of the family's 1533-position model. Lineage: Bacteria; Bacillati; Bacillota; Bacilli; Lactobacillales; Lactobacillaceae. The record is from RNAcentral.
GUGGGAAUCUGCCCAGAAGCAGGGGAUAACACUUGGAAACAGGUGCUAAUACCGUAUAACAACAAAAUCCGCAUGGAUUUUGUUUGAAAGGUGGCUUCGGCUAUCACUUCUGGAUGAUCCCGCGGCGUAUUAGUUAGUUGGUGAGGUAAAGGCCCACCAAGACGAUGAUACGUAGCCGACCUGAGAGGGUAAUCGGCCACAUUGGGACUGAGACACGGCCCAAACUCCUACGGGAGGCAGCAGUAGGGAAUCUUCCACAAUGGACGAAAGUCUGAUGGAGCAAUGCCGCGUGAGUGAAGAAGGGUUUCGGCUCGUAAAACUCUGUUGUUAAAGAAGAACACCUUUGAGAGUAACUGUUCAAGGGUUGACGGUAUUUAACCAGAAAGCCACGGCUAACUACGUGCCAGCAGCCGCGGUAAUACGUAGGUGGCAAGCGUUGUCCGGAUUUAUUGGGCGUAAAGCGAGCGCAGGCGGUUUUUUAAGUCUGAUGUGAAAGCCUUCGGCUUAACCGGANAAGUGCAUCGGAAACUGGGAGACUUGAGUGCAGAAGAGGACAGUGGAACUCCAUGUGUAGCGGUGG